Molecule: long non-coding RNA, 2988 nt
Organism: Ornithodoros turicata
Lineage: Eukaryota; Metazoa; Arthropoda; Arachnida; Ixodida; Argasidae
Exons: 3
Source: RefSeq, a predicted model, not a curated record
UUUCAAGAGUAUCUGAGCUACAGCUACAGGUAAACUGACUAAAAGGUUUCUGAGUUACGGCUACAGGUGCCCGUGGGAAGAAAAUACAAAGGUACAGUUAAGGAAUACUUCCAAAACUGCACUCGGUCGAACAAUGAAUGGCAGAUCAUCAUGGAAAUUGAACAAGUCCAACUUUGCUUUCAUGUGCGCUUCUCGAAGCUUCUCGAAGCCCUGUGAUGCUUCGUAUGCGUACAAGUAUGCACCUCUUCAAGGGAAGAAAAGAUUGUAAAUAUGAAAGGUUAACCAUAAACAUUAUGAGAUAGGGGGAAAAAGAAAUCAUUGCAAGUAGGUGGUAUUCAACGAAACAAUGCCUAUGCAGUCGCAGCAAGUCAGCACAUACCUUGAGUAUUAGAAUAUGAUCUGCAUCUGGACGAAGGAUUGUUAGAAGAGGGAGAAACAGCCAUGUAGCGCAUGAGCACUGUUUCUCGCGCGGCCAUUCUACAUCUGCUGUUCGCUCUCACAGUAAACCAGUUGUUCCUCACUGUCGCACUGCGCUCUUACUUCUUCAAGUUAUGAGCCCAGCACGCUACCAGACAUCUCAAGACACGCACCCACACAUGCUCAAGGUCCUUGGGCUCGAAAUGCUUCUCCAAACUUUUCCAGACUCCAGUAAUGAAUGAAUCUUCCUUGUGGCAAAUCAGCAUAUCGUCAACAUAGAGAAGGACAUAUGAUAUAUGUGCGACUGCCUUUUUCUGUCUUGAAGUAGAGGCAGGGGUCUGCUUCGCUACGGCUGAAGCCCUCUUCAGAAAGACUUCGUUUGCCUUGAUGUUCCAUGCUCUCGCGGCCUGCUUGAGCCCAUAGAGGGAUCUCUGCAGUGUGCAGACUAAAUGUUCUGUACCUACCGAAACGAAAUCUUCGGGCUGUCUCAUGUAUACACGCUUUUCCGAAGGUCGAUGUAGGGGCCGCCAUGUUAGUAUCCCCAUGAUCGGCCGCCAUUGCCCGCCUUGAACAGGCGAAUCUGUCAGUUGGAAACGCUGCACCGUGUCCGCUUUCUCGGCUUUGCCUUUUCGCGCGUUUCCCUCGGGAGCCGUUUUCACAACGUAACCACCAUAUCUUCAUCUCUACCAGUACUUCCGUGGCAUGUGUAGGCGAUGACGACAACAAACACAGACGUGGAGAGGGUCGACGACACGUGAAGGUGGCCAAAGAUAGAAAGAUCACGUAAGUGAACGAACGGCAUCAUAACAUUUCGGGAUAGCAUUUCUGUCAGGAUGAGAUUUGUCUUUGUUACCAUUCACUCUUCGCAGGAACUAGUGAGUGAUUGUCAUCAUGACUACGAUGUACUUUUGUGUUCACUUUUCCAACUCUUGGGGUUAGAGAACGGGUAUUUCUCGUCUCAUAUCGCUCAUUGUCUAUGUGAAGUGUUCUUGUCUCUCUCGGAUUUUCAUUGUGCCUUAUGUAACAGCUAGUCUGCAUACUCUCUUCUAUCCCGCAUUAUCACUUGCUGUACUGCCUUAUCAAGUGUCUGAAAUCUGUAGUGCCGCGCUUAAGUUACACUCGCAGUACAGUGGCAAGUGACGCAGAACGUUGCGUCACUGUUGCAUCUCAUACUCAAUAUACUUUUUCUCUUUCAGUUGUGUACGAGCACAUGAUUAGCAAAGUGGACACUGAUAGACAGCCAGCAGCAAAUUACAGGGGAUUUGCAGAAGCAACGAAUCUUCUGGACUCUGGCCAUGUAGGAGUUCUGUUGUGUCAUGUUAACGGGAGUGCAUGCUUUUUAAAAGCAAACGUUAGAUCGUCCCAAACAGUAGCAAAAUCUUACAGGGUUAAUAUAGUAUUUGACAAUGGGAACGUAAAGGAUGUAUCAUGCCAGUGCCCUGCAGGGCUUGGAAAAACAUGCUCCCAUGUGGGAGCAGUUAUGCUGAAGGUGGCCGAGGCCACAAACCGAGGGUUGACAGGGAUCUCGUGCACUGACGAAAAAUGUGCAUGGAAUGCUUCAACUUCGAAAAAUAUUUUACCGCAAAAGAUGGAUGUUAUCUAUGACCACAAAAAAACUCUCAUAGAAAUUCCUAAGAUGACCUCGCAUGCGGCCUUUCUGACACAUUUUCAGAAGGCAUCGUUUACUCCUGAAUCACUCAAGGAGGAAGGAAGGUACAAUGCUUUUUGCAGUUCUGAAUCCGCGAGGUGCAAACCCGGUUCCUUGCAAAAGUCGAACGCGUCAACAUGGCGUGCACGGAGAUGAGCUCCGGUGCGGAAAAUGCAGAGAUUUCUAUGAGAAAUAUGUGGUCAUUGACGUGGUCCAAGCAAACUCCCUUCAGAAGCGCACCGGAGAUCAAAAAUCGAGCGAAUGGCACCACCAAAGAAAGCUACGAAUAACCGCAAGUACAGCUGGUUCGGUUCCUCGAAAAGCUGCGCCCGAGAAAUUGGUGGCCCGACACAUUAACCACACAUUCCAGGGGAAUGCAAGUACAAGGCAUGGAAAAAUAUGCGAGCCAAAAGCUCGCCCCUGGUACGAGGAGGAGAAUGGUUGCCACGUGCUUCUUUGUGGACUCUCAGUGUUGCCUGACGUGCCAUGGUUGGGUGCAAGAACCGAUGGAAUAGUUGAGGGACAGUGCAAACUUAUAGAAAUUAAGUGUCCUACACCAAAGACUAUUGAGAACCAUGGGUCGCUGUCCGGUCUGUUCAGGAGUGCUUCUUAUGACGUUACUGAAACCACUGAAGGUCUGCAACUGCGAAAACAUGGAAAUAAUAAGUACUACACACAGGUUCAGUUGCAGAUGUACUGUUGUGAAAUGGUGGCAUGCGAUUUUGUUGUGUGAACAAAUGACGAGGCGUAUGUUGUUGAAGUGUUAUAUGAUUAAUCAUUUGUUACUGAAGUUCUUCAGCAGCUAAAAACUUUCCACUUUCAUCACUUGUUGCCAGCACUUUCAGACAAGCAUGAAUAGUAUGUUGAUGAUGCCACGCCUCGUACUACAGGGUGUUACCCUAUAAAAGUCUACCAGUGCCGAC